AUUGAACGCUGGCGGCAUGCUUUACACAUGCAAGUCGAACGGUAACAGGCCGCAAGGUUCUGACGAGUGGCGAACGGGUGAGUAAUGCAUCGGAACGUGCCCUGGCGGGGGGCAUACCUACUCGAAGGAUUAGCUAAUACCGCAUACGAUCCUUGGAUGAAGGCGGGGGGCCGUAUGGCUUCGCUCGGUUGGGGGUUGCGUUGUCUGAUUAGGUAGUGGGUGGGGUAAAGGCCCACCAAGCCAACGAUCUGUAGCUGGUCUGAGAGGACGACCCGCAACACUGGGACUGGGACACGGCCCAGGCUCCGACGGGAGGGAGCAGCGGGGGAUGUUGGACAAUGGGAGCAAGCCUGAUCCAGAAACGGCGCGUGCAGGAAGAAGACCUUCGGGUUGUAAGCUGUUUUUGUACGGAACGAAACGGCUCUGGUUAAUACCCGGGGAUAAUGACGGUACCGGAAGAAUAAGCACCGGCUAACUACGUG
RNAcentral lists this ribosomal RNA (482 nucleotides) under uncultured bacterium. Its description in RNAcentral is "partial 16S ribosomal RNA". It matches the Rfam family "Bacterial small subunit ribosomal RNA", at positions 29 to 507 of the family's 1533-position model. The record is from RNAcentral.